RNAcentral lists this ribosomal RNA (363 nucleotides) under Triticum aestivum (bread wheat). RNAcentral describes it as "partial small subunit ribosomal RNA". Lineage: Eukaryota; Viridiplantae; Streptophyta; Magnoliopsida; Poales; Poaceae. The record is from RNAcentral.
AUGAGACAUUUCGGUGUUCCUAAUCGUAUCAUUACAAACAAUGGCUCACAAUUCACGAGCAACCUCUUCAGGACAUACUGUGCUAACCUUGGAACGCAGAUAUGCUACGUUUCAGUGGUGCACCCACGGAGCAACGGCCAGGCCGAGAGCGCCAAUGCGGAGGUCCUGAGGGGCCUCAAGGCAAGGAGGUUCAAGAAGAAGCUUGAGGCUUGCGGCAGGGGUUGGCUCGGUGAGCUUCAGUUUUUGAUGUGGUCCAUCCGCACCACUACGAUUAAGCCCACCGGUAAGACCUCGUUCUUCCUCGUCUACAGGGCCGAGGGGUCCUCCCUCACGAGGCACGUCAUGAUGCCUUGCGGGGCAUAG